UGAACGCUGGCGGCGUGCUUAACACAUGCAAGUCGACCGGAAAGGCCCAAGCUUGCUUGGGUACUCGAGUGGCGAACGGGUGAGUAACACGUGGGUGAUCUGCCCCGCACUUCGGGAUAAGCCUGGGAAACUGGGUCUAAUACCGGAUAGGACCACUUCUUGGAGGUUGUGGUGGAAAGUUUUUUCGGUGUGGGAUGAGCUCGCGGCCUAUCAGCUUGUUGGUGGGGUAAUGGCCUACCAAGGCGUCGACGGGUAGCCGGCCUGAGAGGGUGUACGGCCACAUUGGGACUGAGAUACGGCCCAGACUCCUACGGGAGGCAGCAGUGGGGAAUAUUGCACAAUGGGCGCAAGCCUGAUGCAGCGACGCCGCGUGGGGGAUGACGGCCUUCGGGUUGUAAACUCCUUUCGCUAGGGACGAAGCGCAAGUGACGGUACCUAGAGAAGAAGCACCGGCUAACUACGUG
Molecule: ribosomal RNA, 464 nt
Filed under: uncultured bacterium
Lineage: Bacteria
Description: partial 16S ribosomal RNA
Rfam family: Bacterial small subunit ribosomal RNA
Source: RNAcentral